CCUACGGGGGGCAGCAGUGAGGAAUAUUGGUCAAUGGCCGGAAGGCUGAACCAGCCAUGCCGCGUGAAGGUCAGUGCCCUAUGGGCGUUAAACUUCUUUUGUGCGGGAGCAAUAAUGGUCACGUGUGGCCAGACGAGAGUACCGUACGAAUAAGCAUCGGCUAACUCCGUGCCAGCAGCCGCGGUAAUACGGGGGAUGCAAGCGUUAUCCGGAUUUACUGGGGGUAAAGGGCGUGUAGGCGGGAAAGCAAGUCAGGUGUGAAAACCACGGGCUCAACCUGUGGCCUGCAUUUGAAACUGUUUUUCUUGAGUACUGGAGAGGCAGACGGAAGUCCUAGGGUAGCGGGGAAAUGGGUAGAUAUUAGGAGGAACACCAGUGGCGAAGGCGGUCUGCGGGACAGCAACUGACGCUGAGGCGCGAAAGCGUGGGGAGCAAACAGGAUUAGAUACCCUUGUAGUC
RNAcentral lists this ribosomal RNA (459 nucleotides) under uncultured bacterium. RNAcentral describes it as "partial 16S ribosomal RNA". It matches the Rfam family "Bacterial small subunit ribosomal RNA", at positions 338 to 795 of the family's 1533-position model. The record is from RNAcentral.